AGAGAAAAGAUCUGAGAGAAAAGCCUGGGACUCUGCCACCCAGCUCCCUGGCCCCUGGGAGAAGCCAUGGCAGAUAUUUGGGAUGAGGCAGCAUGCUGGUCCCUCAGCAGCAUCCUUAUCACGUCAGCUGUGAGAGAAAUAAAACUGUGAGACUGUGAAGUGUAUAAAGGAUUCUACCGCUCUCCCGGGGCUUGGAGACCCACAGAUUGGAGAAACCCUCUUGCCAUGUGCUACCUUUUGCCAUGUUAUGAAGGGGCAAGAAGGCCCUAACCAGAUGCAGCCCCUCGAACUGGG
RNAcentral lists this long non-coding RNA (294 nucleotides) under Homo sapiens (human). RNAcentral describes it as "HSALNT0393450". Lineage: Eukaryota; Metazoa; Chordata; Mammalia; Primates; Hominidae. The record is from RNAcentral.